UACAGAGGAGCCAAGCGUUGUCCGGAUUUACUGGGCGUAAAGCGCACGCAGGCGGCCCGGCGCGUGGGGUGUGAAAGCUGGCGGCUUAACUGCCAGACGCCAUCCCAUACGGCUGGGCUCGAGCCCUGCAGAGGUCCAUGGAAUUGCCGGUGUAGUGGUGAAAUGCGUAGAGAUCGGCAGGAACACCCAGGGGGAAACCAGUGGACUGGGCAGGAGCUGACGCUCAGGUGCGAAAGCGUGGGGAGCGAACCGG
This 253-nucleotide ribosomal RNA is filed under the name uncultured bacterium. RNAcentral describes it as "partial 16S ribosomal RNA". It matches the Rfam family "Bacterial small subunit ribosomal RNA", at positions 524 to 776 of the family's 1533-position model. The record is from RNAcentral.